This 254-nucleotide ribosomal RNA is filed under the name uncultured bacterium. RNAcentral's name for it is "partial 16S ribosomal RNA". It matches the Rfam family "Bacterial small subunit ribosomal RNA", at positions 524 to 776 of the family's 1533-position model. The record is from RNAcentral.
UACGUAGGGAGCAAGCGUUGUCCGGAUUUACUGGGCGUAAAGGGCGCGUAGGCGGUCUGCUUAGCGUGAAGUGAAAUCUCCAGGGCUCAACCCGGAAACCGCUUUGCGAACUGGCAGACUAGAGGAAGGCAGAGGUGAAUGGAAUUCCUGGUGUAGCGGUGACAUGCAUUGAUAUCAGGAGGAACACCCGUGGCGAAGGCGGUUCACUGGGCCUUAUCUGACGCUGAGGCGCGAAAGCGUGGGUAGCAAACAGG